Hypoxylon cercidicola is the source of this 86-nucleotide non-coding RNA. NCBI's taxonomy places the organism in Eukaryota, Fungi, Ascomycota, Sordariomycetes, Xylariales, Hypoxylaceae. The record is from the annotation of a GenBank genome assembly.
GCUUGCUUGGCACAGCGGUAAUGCGCCUCACUAGUAUACUAAGAAUGACAAUGAGGAGAUGACUGGUUCGACUCCAGUAGUGAGCA